UACGGGGGUGGCGAGCGUUACUCGGAUUUAUUGGGUGUAAAGGGCAGGUAGGUGUUCCGCCAAGUUAGAAGUGAAAUCCUUUGGCUUAACCAAAGAACUGCUUCUAAAACUGGCGGGAUUGAGGCUGGAAGAGGAGAGCGGAAUUCCCGGUGUAAGGGUGAAAUCUGUAGAUAUCGGGAGGAACGCCAGUGGCGAAAGCGGCUCUCUGGUCUAGCUCUGACACUGAGCUGCGAAAGCUAGGGGAGCAAACAGG
This 253-nucleotide ribosomal RNA is filed under the name uncultured bacterium. Its description in RNAcentral is "partial 16S ribosomal RNA". It matches the Rfam family "Bacterial small subunit ribosomal RNA", at positions 524 to 776 of the family's 1533-position model. The record is from RNAcentral.